This 422-nucleotide ribosomal RNA is filed under the name uncultured bacterium. RNAcentral's name for it is "bacterial SSU rRNA". It matches the Rfam family "Bacterial small subunit ribosomal RNA", at positions 917 to 1344 of the family's 1533-position model. The record is from RNAcentral.
GGGCCCGCACAAGCAGUGGAGCAUGUGGUUUAAUUCGAUGCAACGCGAAGAACCUUACCAGGGCUUGACAUACUACAAAUCUUUUAGAGAUAGAAGAGUGCUUUCGAGAAUGUAGAUACAGGUGGUGCAUGGCUGUCGUCAGCUCGUGUCGUGAGAUGUUGGGUUAAGUCCCGCAACGAGCGCAACCCUCGUUUUUAGUUGCCAAUUUAUUGGUUUUUUAGAAAGACUGCCGGUGACAAACCGGAGGAAGGUGAGGAUGACGUCAAGUCAGCAUGCCCCUUAUGUCCUGGGCUACACACGUGCUACAAUGAUGGGGACAAAGAGUUGCCAAUCCGCGAGGAUGAGCUAAUCUCAUAAACUCCAUCUAAGUUCGGAUUGUAGGCUGCAACUCGCCUACAUGAAGUUGGAAUUGCUAGUAAUCG